GACGAACGCUGGCGGCGUGCUUAACACAUGCAAGUCGAACGGUAAGGCCCUUCGGGGUACACGAGUGGCGAACGGGUGAGUAACACGUGGGUGAUCUGCCCUGCACUUCGGGAUAAGCCUGGGAAACUGGGUCUAAUACCGGAUAGGACCCUGGGAUGCAUGUCCUGGGGUGGAAAGCUUUUGCGGUGUGGGAUGGGACCGCGGCUUAUCAGCUCGUUGGUGGGGUGAUGGCCUACCAAGGCGACGACGGGUAGCCGGCCUGCGAGGGUGACCGGCCACACGGGGACUGAGAUACGGACCAGACUGCUACGGGAGGCAUCAGUGGGGAAUAUUGCACAAUGGGCGCAAGCCUGAUGCAGCGACGCAGCGUGAGGGAUGACGGCCUUCGGGUUGUAAACCUCUUUCAGCACCGACGAAGCGCAAGUGACGGUAGGUGCAGAAGAAGGACCGGCCAACUACGUGCCAGCCGCCGCUGUAA
RNAcentral lists this ribosomal RNA (478 nucleotides) under uncultured bacterium. Its description in RNAcentral is "partial 16S ribosomal RNA". It matches the Rfam family "Bacterial small subunit ribosomal RNA", at positions 28 to 523 of the family's 1533-position model. The record is from RNAcentral.